GAAGAGUAUGAAGACAGCUAAGAAGAGUCAAAGAGAAAGAAACGUUAGCAAUCAGUGUAAAGUGUGAACACAGAUUAAGCAGUUAAGGGUCAACAGAGUUAGGAAGUAUAGAGAACCCGAGAGGGUUUCCGUCAGUAAUCUCUGUGUCUCUUUGCAGAGGAAGGUGUUAAGUUUUCUUUACUUGCUUAUUUGCAUAUGUGUUUAUUGUGUGAC
RNAcentral lists this long non-coding RNA (213 nucleotides) under Manihot esculenta (cassava). Its description in RNAcentral is "long non-coding RNA (MESC_LNC003970)". The record is from RNAcentral. Lineage: Eukaryota; Viridiplantae; Streptophyta; Magnoliopsida; Malpighiales; Euphorbiaceae.